UUAAGCGACUAAGCGUACACGGUGGAUGCCCUGGCAGUCAGAGGCGAUGAAGGACGUGCUAAUCUGCGAUAAGCGUCGGUAAGGUGAUAUGAACCGUUAUAACCGGCGAUUUCCGAAUGGGGAAACCCAGUGUGAUUCGUCACACUAUCAUUAACUGAAUCCAUAGGUUAAUGAGGCGAACCGGGGGAACUGAAACAUCUAAGUACCCCGAGGAAAAGAAAUCAACCGAGAUUCCCCCAGUAGCGGCGAGCGAACGGGGAGCAGCCCAGAGCCUGAAUCAGUGUGUGUGUUAGUGGAAGCGUCUGGAAAGGCGCGCGAUACAGGGUGACAGCCCCGUACACAAAAAUGCACAUGCUGUGAGCUCGAUGAGUAGGGCGGGACACGUGGUAUCCUGUCUGAAUAUGGGGGGACCAUCCUCCAAGGCUAAAUACUCCUGACUGACCGAUAGUGAACCAGUACCGUGAGGGAAAGGCGAAAAGAACCCCGGCGAGGGGAGUGAAAAAGAACCUGAAACCGUGUACGUACAAGCAGUGGGAGCACAGAGCAAUCUGUGUGACUGCGUACCUUUUGUAUAAUGGGUCAGCGACUUAUAUUCUGUAGCAAGGUUAACCGAAUAGGGGAGCCGAAGGGAAACCGAGUCUUAACUGGGCGUUAAGUUGCAGGGUAUAGACCCGAAACCCGGUGAUCUAGCCAUGGGCAGGUUGAAGGUUGGGUAACACUAACUGGAGGACCGAACCGACUAAUGUUGAAAAAUUAGCGGAUGACUUGUGGCUGGGGGUGAAAGGCCAAUCAAACCGGGAGAUAGCUGGUUCUCCCCGAAAGCUAUUUAGGUAGCGCCUCGUGAAUUCAUCUCCGGGGGUAGAGCACUGUUUCGGCAAGGGGGUCAUCCCGACUUACCAACCCGAUGCAAACUGCGAAUACCGGAGAAUGUUAUCACGGGAGACACACGGCGGGUGCUAACGUCCGUCGUGAAGAGGGAAACAACCCAGACCGCCAGCUAAGGUCCCAAAGUCAUGGUUAAGUGGGAAACGAUGUGGGAAGGCCCAGACAGCCAGGAUGUUGGCUUAGAAGCAGCCAUCAUUUAAAGAAAGCGUAAUAGCUCACUGGUCGAGUCGGCCUGCGCGGAAGAUGUAACGGGGCUAAACCAUGCACCGAAGCUGCGGCAGCGACGCUUAUGCGUUGUUGGGUAGGGGAGCGUUCUGUAAGCCUGCGAAGGUGUGCUGUGAGGCAUGCUGGAGGUAUCAGAAGUGCGAAUGCUGACAUAAGUAACGAUAAAGCGGGUGAAAAGCCCGCUCGCCGGAAGACCAAGGGUUCCUGUCCAACGUUAAUCGGGGCAGGGUGAGUCGACCCCUAAGGCGAGGCCGAAAGGCGUAGUCGAUGGGAAACAGGUUAAUAUUCCUGUACUUGGUGUUACUGCGAAGGGGGGACGGAGAAGGCUAUGUUGGCCGGGCGACGGUUGUCCCGGUUUAAGCGUGUAGGCUGGUUUUCCAGGCAAAUCCGGAAAAUCAAGGCUGAGGCGUGAUGACGAGGCACUACGGUGCUGAAGCAACAAAUGCCCUGCUUCCAGGAAAAGCCUCUAAGCAUCAGGUAACAUCAAAUCGUACCCCAAACCGACACAGGUGGUCAGGUAGAGAAUACCAAGGCGCUUGAGAGAACUCGGGUGAAGGAACUAGGCAAAAUGGUGCCGUAACUUCGGGAGAAGGCACGCUGAUAUGUAGGUGAAGUCCCUCGCGGAUGGAGCUGAAAUCAGUCGAAGAUACCAGCUGGCUGCAACUGUUUAUUAAAAACACAGCACUGUGCAAACACGAAAGUGGACGUAUACGGUGUGACGCCUGCCCGGUGCCGGAAGGUUAAUUGAUGGGGUCAGCGCAAGCGAAGCUCUUGAUCGAAGCCCCGGUAAACGGCGGCCGUAACUAUAACGGUCCUAAGGUAGCGAAAUUCCUUGUCGGGUAAGUUCCGACCUGCACGAAUGGCGUAAUGAUGGCCAGGCUGUCUCCACCCGAGACUCAGUGAAAUUGAACUCGCUGUGAAGAUGCAGUGUACCCGCGGCAAGACGGAAAGACCCCGUGAACCUUUACUAUAGCUUGACACUGAACAUUGAGCCUUGAUGUGUAGGAUAGGUGGGAGGCUUUGAAGUGUGGACGCCAGUCUGCAUGGAGCCGACCUUGAAAUACCACCCUUUAAUGUUUGAUGUUCUAACGUUGACCCGUAAUCCGGGUUGCGGACAGUGUCUGGUGGGUAGUUUGACUGGGGCGGUCUCCUCCUAAAGAGUAACGGAGGAGCACGAAGGUUGGCUAAUCCUGGUCGGACAUCAGGAGGUUAGUGCAAUGGCAUAAGCCAGCUUGACUGCGAGCGUGACGGCGCGAGCAGGUGCGAAAGCAGGUCAUAGUGAUCCGGUGGUUCUGAAUGGAAGGGCCAUCGCUCAACGGAUAAAAGGUACUCCGGGGAUAACAGGCUGAUACCGCCCAAGAGUUCAUAUCGACGGCGGUGUUUGGCACCUCGAUGUCGGCUCAUCACAUCCUGGGGCUGAAGUAGGUCCCAAGGGUAUGGCUGUUCGCCAUUUAAAGUGGUACGCGAGCUGGGUUUAGAACGUCGUGAGACAGUUCGGUCCCUAUCUGCCGUGGGCGCUGGAGAACUGAGGGGGGCUGCUCCUAGUACGAGAGGACCGGAGUGGACGCAUCACUGGUGUUCGGGUUGUCAUGCCAAUGGCACUGCCCGGUAGCUAAAUGCGGAAGAGAUAAGUGCUGAAAGCAUCUAAGCACGAAACUUGCCCCGAGAUGAGUUCUCCCUGACUCCUUGAGAGUCCUGAAGGAACGUUGAAGACGACGACGUUGAUAGGCCGGGUGUGUAAGCGCAGCGAUGCGUUGAGCUAACCGGUACUAAUGAACCGUGAGGCUUAACCU
RNAcentral lists this ribosomal RNA (2903 nucleotides) under Escherichia coli. RNAcentral's name for it is "bacterial LSU rRNA". It matches the Rfam family "Bacterial large subunit ribosomal RNA". The record is from RNAcentral. Lineage: Bacteria; Pseudomonadati; Pseudomonadota; Gammaproteobacteria; Enterobacterales; Enterobacteriaceae.